CACAAAUAUAAGAUAUAUGUAAGUGUAUGUGUGUGUACAUACAUAUAUGUGAUAAUUAACUCUUAUUUGUACUGCAUGGGGUAGAUAUCACAAAACUUGUACCCCUUGAGUGAAGCUUUUGAGUUGAAUGGUAUCCCACAUCAACCAUCACCUGUGGACAAGCCAAGUCUGAAAUCCCCAGCAGCCAUGAUAAUGGAGCUGCUACAGAAGCAAUGCCAGUGUGGCAGAAGAACAGAGUGGCUGCUAUCGUAGAUGGAGAAACAAUAAUCCCUGCCGACCAAGAUGACAACUUUUCUUUGGAUCUGGCAUCAAGUAGAAGGUUCUUUUGAAAGAAAAAGAAAUAUCCUUUUUUUUUUUUAAGGGAAAAUUCAGGGGGGAAAGUCCCCCCACCACAUUAUUCUGGCUCUUUUUUAUUGCCACAGACUGUUUGGAUGAACUCAAAAAUACAUUUUUGGGUAGGAAAAAAGGUUCUGACAACAUUGUAGGUUUUUUUUAGCCUUCUAAUGGUGCUUUCACAAAUAUUACACCAUCCCAGCUUCUUCAUGAAAGUUUCUAGUUGAGAGCUGUGCUCUGAAAACACACAAAAUGUUCUUUUUUUCUGUGUUUAUAACAAGUGGAUAAGGCUAGAGCUGGCAAAAUGGCAAAGGAAUUUUAAUGCUGUAGAAAGAGUGGUGGGCCAUUAGCUUAAUGCCUCCACACAUCUCUCACUAGCUGGCUUUCAUCCUAUAGCCCUUCUUGCAUGCAUUCAGUAUGUCUCAACCAGUCUUCAAGUUUGCCAAUAAAACAUCAGUGGUGUUACUGUGUCUUUCUUUCAUGUCUAGAAGUCUUAAUAUACAUAUAUAUAUUCCUAGUUCCAAAAUAAUUCCACCUUCAGGAAAGUGAAAUAAUUAUUCUUGAGUUGCAGUUGUUACAAGGACUAUAGAAAAAAUAAUGACUGUCUGAGUUUUGAUGUUUUCACCUUAGAAACGUGGCGUGCAUCUUCCACUGUAACUGCAAGAGUAGAAAGAGAUGACAGGUUCAGUGAGACUUUUUCACCUACUCUGGAUUUUUAUCAUAAAGAUUAAUUUCUUGUUGUUCUCCAUCAAUAACUUCCUCUCCAGUGCUUCCCCUGUGUCUGAGUUGGAGAAUGAGACCACUUCAACAGGACACUCUUCCAUCAUUUCCCAAAGACAUUAUUUUUGCAGUCGGAUGAGUGUUGGCUUCCCAGUGAUGCCUCUACGGACAACAGCAUUCUGUCAGACUGACCUCUCAUACAGCGUUUGAUAGUGUGAUAUAAGUGUGCUGAGGAAGACAAGAAGAUGAUCUCCAGUUGAAGGCACACAAACUCCUAGCCGAUUUUAACAGGAUUGAACCCAGACAUCGUUUUUGCUGCACAACUGCACAACUUCAAAUUGGUUUUACAAUUCAAGGCUCUCUCUUCCAUAGUUAGUAAUUAUUACUUGUCAAGGUUCAUUAAUAUCUCUGCCCCAUACAUUACGCAAGAAACAUCAUUAUAGCAAGACCUUACCCCAUGUCAUUAGCAGGAACUUUUGUAUUUAAUGUUGAGAAUGACUCAAGUGAAGUGCUGCUUUCUCUGACCUGUCAUAAAUAAAGAACCAUUAUAAUUAAAAGCCCAGGCUUGAUUUAUACAGGCUGUUUGCUCAGGCUGCCAGGAUUGAACCUCUUAAUGUCUAUUGUUACCAAGGGAUUUUGGUGAGAGUUGAUCUAGUUUAAUCAAAUACUUACCACUUCUAAUAAGUUUUAGAAAUGUAGCAAGAAACAAAAACAAUCCUGUCUGAAUGAUUUUCUUCUACUCUUCAUGUUUGAUCCAGUCUUGGAUUAAUAAUUGCUAUGACUCUGAUAUGCUUUGAUUUAUUUAAAUCAAAGCAUGCCUCUUUGGCUUCAGUUGCUUGCAGUUUAACUUUAAAUAGAUACUGAUACAAGACACAGUGAUACACAAAACAUCUGGUUUUUAUAAAUUACAUCCGGAGAUGCAUGAGACUACUGAGUGAACAAACUCACAAGAUAUCUGCAGGUUACUUUGCAUUGUGGUACACAGAUUUAUUUUGCUUACAAUGCCAACAGGAAAACAAAAGAAUUUAUCAAGUUUUGUGCAUAUGCAUCUAAACAUCCU
This 2113-nucleotide long non-coding RNA is filed under the name Gallus gallus (chicken). Lineage: Eukaryota; Metazoa; Chordata; Aves; Galliformes; Phasianidae. The record is from RNAcentral.